CUGGCUCAGGACGAACGCUGGCGGCGUGCUUAACACAUGCAAGUCGAACGGGAGUAUUGAAGAAGCUUGCUUAGAGAUACUUUAGUGGCGGACGGGUGAGUAACGCGUGAGGAGCUGUCCUAUGCAGGGGGACAACAGCUGGAAACGGCUGCUAAUACCCCAUAAGCCGAGAGGUAAAAGGAUCAAUCCGGCAGAGGAGGUACUCGCGUCCUAUCAGCUAGUAGGUGAGGUAACGGCUCACCUAGGCGAAGACGGGUAGCCGGCCUGAGAGGGCGAACGGCCACACUGGAACUGAGAUACGGUCCAGACUCCUACGGGAGGCAGCAGUGGGGAAUAUUGGGCAAUGGGGGGAAACCCUGACCCAGCGACGCCGCGUGGGUGAAGAAAUCCUUCGGGAUGUAAAGCCCUGUUGUAUGGGAAGAGCGGAAGACGGUACCAUACGAGGAAGCCCCGGCAAACUACGUGCCAGCCGCAGC
Molecule: ribosomal RNA, 476 nt
Filed under: uncultured bacterium
Lineage: Bacteria
Description: bacterial SSU rRNA
Rfam family: Bacterial small subunit ribosomal RNA
Source: RNAcentral